Molecule: ribosomal RNA, 407 nt
Filed under: uncultured bacterium
Lineage: Bacteria
Description: bacterial SSU rRNA
Rfam family: Bacterial small subunit ribosomal RNA
Source: RNAcentral
GUGGGGAAUAUUGCGCAAUGGGGGAAACCCUGACGCAGCAACGCCGCGUGAUUGAAGAAGGUCUUCGGAUUGUAAAAAUCUUUUAUCAAGGACGAAGAAGUGACGGUACUUGAUGAAUAAGCUCCGGCUAACUACGUGCCAGCAGCCGCGGUAAUACGUAGGGAGCAAGCGUUAUCCGGAUUUACUGGGUGUAAAGGGCGAGUAGGCGGGUCGGCAAGUUGGGAGUGAAAUGUCGGGGCUUAACCCCGGAACUGCUUCCAAAACUGUUGAUCUUGAGUGAUGGAGAGGCAGGCGGAAUUCCCAGUGUAGCGGUGAAAUGCGUAGAUAUUGGGAGGAACACCAGUGGCGAAGGCGGCCUGCUGGACAUUAACUGACGCUGAGGAGCGAAAGCGUGGGGAGCAAACAGG